UACGUAGGUGGCAAGCGUUAUCCGGAAUUAUUGGGCGUAAAGCGCGCGUAGGCGGUUUUUUAAGUCUGAUGUGAAAGCCCACGGCUCAACCGUGGAGGGUCAUUGGAAACUGGAAAACUUGAGUGCAGAAGAGGAAAGUGGAAUUCCAUGUGUAGCGGUGAAAUGCGCAGAGAUAUGGAGGAACACCAGUGGCGAAGGCGACUUUCUNGGUCUGUAACUGACGCUGAUGUGCGAAAGCGUGGGGAUCAAACAG
This 253-nucleotide ribosomal RNA is filed under the name uncultured Staphylococcus sp. RNAcentral describes it as "partial 16S ribosomal RNA". It matches the Rfam family "Bacterial small subunit ribosomal RNA", at positions 524 to 775 of the family's 1533-position model. The record is from RNAcentral. Lineage: Bacteria; Bacillati; Bacillota; Bacilli; Caryophanales; Staphylococcaceae.